RNAcentral lists this transfer RNA (72 nucleotides) under Camelus bactrianus (Bactrian camel). It matches the Rfam family "tRNA". Rfam says of the family: Transfer RNA (tRNA) molecules are approximately 80 nucleotides in length. Their secondary structure includes four short double-helical elements and three loops (D, anti-codon, and T loops). The record is from Rfam by way of RNAcentral. RNAcentral also lists the same sequence under 1 other name. Lineage: Eukaryota; Metazoa; Chordata; Mammalia; Artiodactyla; Camelidae.
GAGGGUAUAGCUCAAGUGGUAGAGCCCAUGCUUCGCAUGCAUGAGGUCCUCGGUUCAAUCCCUAGUACCUCG